Molecule: ribosomal RNA, 253 nt
Filed under: uncultured bacterium
Lineage: Bacteria
Description: partial 16S ribosomal RNA
Rfam family: Bacterial small subunit ribosomal RNA
Source: RNAcentral
UACGAAGGGGGCUAGCGUUGCUCGGAAUCACGUGGCGUAAAGCGCACGUAGGCGGCUUUCUAAGUCAGGGGUGAAAUCCUGGAGCUCAACUCCAGAACUGCCUUUGAUACUGGAGAGCUAGAGUCCGGAAGAGGUGAGUGGAACUGCGAGUGUAGAGGUGAAAUUCGUAGAUAUUCGCAAGAACACCAGUGGCGAAGGCGGCUCACUGGUCCGGUACUGACGCUGAGGUGCGAAAGCGUGGGGAGCAAACAGG